UGCAGCUGAGUCAAAUUCGGUCCUCGCCUGCCCCGUGCUGAGGACCGGCCAAACAGCUGCCACAGCAACACCUGUAGCUCACGAGCCCCGCUGUCCCUGUGCCUGGACACGGGGGGUAAACGCUGCGGACACGG
This 134-nucleotide small nucleolar RNA is filed under the name Tinamus guttatus (white-throated tinamou). RNAcentral's name for it is "Small nucleolar RNA SNORA5". It matches the Rfam family "Small nucleolar RNA SNORA5". From Rfam's summary of the family: ACA5 is a member of the H/ACA class of snoRNA that guide the sites of modification of uridines to pseudouridines. The record is from Rfam by way of RNAcentral. Lineage: Eukaryota; Metazoa; Chordata; Aves; Tinamiformes; Tinamidae.